GGGGAAAAAAUUGUGCUUGAAAACCCCUUCCACCUGAAGUCUGUGGAUAGUCAAUACAAUGUUAAACAAAAAUCUACACACCAGUCAAGCCAUGCAUGAGUGGUUCACUAGCUUUGCAUCUUUUCCUAAGUUGUGUUUCAAAGCUGUUGGAUUCCUUUGAGGCUGUUUGUUGUAUACAUGUUUAUAAUAGAAUGAGGCAAAAAUGUGAUUCUUUGUUAAACUAAUUUACAUAUGCCCACCCAGAAUCCUUUGCGGUAGUAACAUCACAUCAAAUUUGUGAUUUCUGUGGGAAAAGCCAAGUCUUAUGGCAGUGGCGGACUAAGGAGGGGGCGGUACGCUCCGGGUGCCACCUGGUAGGGGGUGCCUUGACCCUGGUCUUGGGGCUGGAGGGGGCUGUGUGAGCUGUGCCCCAUGGCAGCUGGGUUGUCACCGCUCACACGGAGACCAGCACGCUAAACUGGCCGCCCG
This is a non-coding RNA of Pelobates cultripes (western spadefoot toad), 468 nucleotides long. NCBI's taxonomy places the organism in Eukaryota, Metazoa, Chordata, Amphibia, Anura, Pelobatidae. The record is from the annotation of a GenBank genome assembly.